UCCAGACUCCUACGGGAGGCAGCAGUGGGGAAUAUUGCACAAUGGGGGGAACCCUGAUGCAGCGACGCCGCGUGGGUGAAGAAGUCAUUCGUGACGUAAAGCCCUAUCAGCAGGGAAGAAAAUGACGGUACCUGACUAAGAAGCCCCGGCUAACUACGUGCCAGCAGCCGCGGUAAUACGUAGGGGGCAAGCGUUAUCCGGAUUUACUGGGUGUAAAGGGGGCGCAGACGGCAGCGCAAGCCAGGAGUGAAAGCCCGGGGCCCAACCCCGGGACUGCUCUUGGAACUGCGCGGCUGGAGUGCAGGAGGGGCAGGCGGAAUUCCUGGUGUAGCGGUGAAAUGCGCAGAUAUCAGGAAGAACACCGGUGGCGUAGGCGGCUUACUGGACGGCAACUGACGCUGAGGCUCGAAAGCGUGGGGAGCAAACAGGAUUAGAUACCCCUGUAC
Molecule: ribosomal RNA, 446 nt
Filed under: uncultured bacterium
Lineage: Bacteria
Description: partial 16S ribosomal RNA
Rfam family: Bacterial small subunit ribosomal RNA
Source: RNAcentral